UGGGGAAUAUUGCACAAUGGGCGAAAGCCUGAUGCAGCAACGCCGCGUGAGUGAUGAAGGUCUUCGGAUUGUAAAGCUCUGUCUUUUGGGACGAUAAUGACGGUACCAAAGGAGGAAGCCACGGCUAACUACGUGCCAGCAGCCGCGGUAAUACGUAGGUGGCGAGCGUUGUCCGGAUUUACUGGGCGUAAAGGGUGCGUAGGCGGAUGUUUAAGUGAGAUGUGAAAUACCCGGGCUUAACUUGGGUGCUGCAUUUCAAACUGGAUAUCUAGAGUGCAGGAGGGGAGAAUGGAAUUCCUAGUGUAGCGGUGAAAUGCGUAGAGAUUAGGAAGAACACCAGUGGCGAAGGCGAUUCUCUGGACUGUAACUGACGCUGAGGCACGAAAGCGUGGGUAGCAAACAGGAUUAGAUACCCUGGUAGUCCACGCCGUAAACGAUGAGUACUAGGUGUAGGAGGUAUCGACCCCUUCUGUGCCGCAGUAAACACAUUAAGUACUCCGCCUGGGAAGUACGAUCGCAAGAUU
RNAcentral lists this ribosomal RNA (524 nucleotides) under uncultured bacterium. Its description in RNAcentral is "partial 16S ribosomal RNA". It matches the Rfam family "Bacterial small subunit ribosomal RNA", at positions 355 to 895 of the family's 1533-position model. The record is from RNAcentral.